CCUACGGGAGGCAGCAGUGGGGAAUUUUGGACAAUGGGCGCAAGCCUGAUCCAGCAAUGCCGCGUGAGUGAAGAAGGCCUUCGGGUUGUAAAGCUCUUUUGUCAGGGAAGAAACGGUCUGUUCUAAUACAGCGGGCUAAUGACGGUACCUGAAGAAUAAGCACCGGCUAACUACGUGCCAGCAGCCGCGGUAAUACGUAGGGUGCAAGCGUUAAUCGGAAUUACUGGGCGUAAAGCGUGCGCAGGCGGUUUUGUAAGUUUGUCGUGAAAUCCCCGGGCUCAACCUGGGAAUGGCGAUGAAGACUGCAAGGCUAGAGUUUGGCAGAGGGGGGUAGAAUUCCACGUGUAGCAGUGAAAUGCGUAGAUAUGUGGAGGAACACCGAUGGCGAAGGCAGCCCCCUGGGUCAAAACUGACGCUCAUGCACGAAAGCGUGGGGAGCAAACAGGAUUAGAUACCCUGGUAGUCCACGCCCUAAACGAUGUCUACUAGUUGUCGGGUCUUAAUUGACUUGGUAACGCAGCUAACGCGUGAAGUAGACCGCCUGGGGAGUACGGCCGCAAGAUUAAAACUCAAAUGAAUUGACGG
RNAcentral lists this ribosomal RNA (585 nucleotides) under uncultured bacterium. RNAcentral describes it as "bacterial SSU rRNA". It matches the Rfam family "Bacterial small subunit ribosomal RNA", at positions 338 to 916 of the family's 1533-position model. The record is from RNAcentral.